RNAcentral lists this ribosomal RNA (253 nucleotides) under uncultured bacterium. Its description in RNAcentral is "partial 16S ribosomal RNA". It matches the Rfam family "Bacterial small subunit ribosomal RNA", at positions 524 to 776 of the family's 1533-position model. The record is from RNAcentral.
GACGUAGGGCGUGAGCGUUGUCCGGAUUUAUUGGGCGUAAAGAGCUCGUAGGCGGCUUGUUGCGUCGACCGUGAAAACCCGGGGCUCAACUUCGGGCUUGCGGUCGAUACGGGCGGGCUAGAGUUCGGUAGGGGAGACUGGAAUUCCUGGUGUAGCGGUGAAAUGCGCAGAUAUCAGGAGGAACACCGGUGGCGAAGGCGGGUCUCUGGGCCGAUACUGACGCUGAGGAGCGAAAGCGUGGGGAGCGAACAGG